GGCGAACGGGUGAGUAAUACAUAAGCAACCUACCUAUUUGACCGGGAUAACAGUUGGAAACGACUGCUAAUACCGGAUAGGUGCGCGGGGGACAUCCCCUGCACAUUAAAGCUGGGACACAGCACGAAUGGAUGGGCUUAUGGCGCAUUAGUUAGUUGGCGGGAUAACGGCCCACCAAGACGAUGAUGCGUAGCCGACCUGAGAGGGUGACCGGCCACACUGGGACUGAGACACGGCCCAGACUCCUACGGGAGGCAGCAGUAGGGAAUUUUCGGCAAUGGGCGCAAGCCUGACCGAGCAACGCCGCGUGAGUGAAGAAGGCCUUCGGGUUGUAAAGCUCUGUUGUAAGGGAAGAAUGGCCAAGAGAGGGAAUGCUCUUGGAGUGACGGUACCUUACCAGAAAGCCACGGCUAACUACGUGCCAGCAGCCGCGGUAAUACGUAGGUGGCAAGCGUUAUCCGGAAUUAUUGGGCGUAAAGGGAGCGUAGGCGGUUUGAUAAGUCUGAGGUGAAAGUUCGGGGCUCAACUCCGAAUUGCCUUAGAAACUGUCAGACUAGAGUGCAGGAGAGGGCAAUGGAAUUCCAUGUGUAGCGGUAAAAUGCGUAGAUAUAUGGAGGAACACCAGUGGCGAAGGCGGUUGCCUGGCCUGUAACUGACGCUGAGGCUCGAAAGCGUGGGGAGCAAAUAGGAUUAGAUACCCUAGUAGUCCACGCUGUAAACGAUGAUUACUAAGUGUUGGAGCAAUUCAGUGCUGCAGUUAACGCAAUAAGUAAUCCGCCUGGGGAGUAUGCACGCAAGUGUGAAACUCAAAGGAAUUGACGGGGGCCCGCACAAG
This 835-nucleotide ribosomal RNA is filed under the name uncultured bacterium. Its description in RNAcentral is "bacterial SSU rRNA". It matches the Rfam family "Bacterial small subunit ribosomal RNA", at positions 97 to 929 of the family's 1533-position model. The record is from RNAcentral.